This 429-nucleotide ribosomal RNA is filed under the name Bacteroidota bacterium. Its description in RNAcentral is "Bacteroidetes bacterium partial 16S ribosomal RNA". It matches the Rfam family "Bacterial small subunit ribosomal RNA", at positions 355 to 776 of the family's 1533-position model. Lineage: Bacteria; Pseudomonadati; Bacteroidota. The record is from RNAcentral.
UAGGGAAUCUUCGGCAAUGGGGGGAACCCUGACCGAGCAACGCCGCGUGAGUGAAGAAGGUUUUCGGAUCGUAAAGCUCUGUUGUUAAGGAAGAACGAGUGUGAGAAUGGAAAGUUCAUGCUGUGACGGUACUUAACCAGAAAGGGACGGCUAACUACGUGCCAGCAGCCGCGGUAAUACGUAGGUCCCGAGCGUUGUCCGGAUUUAUUGGGCGUAAAGCGAGCGCAGGCGGUUAGAAAAGUCUGAAGUGAAAGGCAGUGGCUCAACCAUUGUAGGCUUUGGAAACUGUUUAACUUGGGGGCAGAAGGGGAGAGUGGAAUUCCAUGUGUAGCGGUGAAAUGCGUAGAUAUAUGGAGGAACACCGGUGGCGAAAGCGGCUCUCUGGUCUGUAACUGACGCUGAGGCUCGAAAGCGUGGGGAGCGAACAGG